UCCACCAGUUUGGAAGUAGCAGUGACCAUCAUCUUCUCUGGGUAGAUCAUGGGAGAGAGUGUCCAUCAAAUGAAGAAUUCCAGCAGCCACCAGCUUCUCCACACAUCAGAUGUUGCAAUACUUUGACUUCAAGAAAAGCAAGGCCCUGGGCAGGAGGGAUCCUCAGAGAGACAUGAAUGAACGGCUCUACCCUCAGCACGUCACCUUUGAUACCAGUUGCCUCCCUGAUGGAGCAAAUGCAGAACGUGUUAUGGAAGAAGAUGAGAGAUAAGUUAAUAAAAAUGCCAUACACAUGGGAGGCAUCCCACUCACAUGGAUGGCCUCCAUCUCUGGCUCUCCCUAAUGAUUAAUGAGCACUGAUUAAAAUGUUGGGCUGUGUGUCAACAAUUUAAACCUAUUAAGCCCCAUUAAACCUGAGAAGGAAAA
This is a long non-coding RNA of Ornithorhynchus anatinus (platypus), 426 nucleotides long. RefSeq lists it as uncharacterized. The record is from RefSeq and is a predicted model, not a curated record. The transcript is spliced from 2 exons. NCBI's taxonomy places the organism in Eukaryota, Metazoa, Chordata, Mammalia, Monotremata, Ornithorhynchidae.